Monodelphis domestica (gray short-tailed opossum) is the source of this 3133-nucleotide non-coding RNA. The record is from RefSeq and is a predicted model, not a curated record. NCBI's taxonomy places the organism in Eukaryota, Metazoa, Chordata, Mammalia, Didelphimorphia, Didelphidae.
GACAAGGGAACCAAGAGCGCCCACGUGGAAGAGGCCGCUCCAGGGGUCUGGAGGAGGGGGAACUCACUGAACACCUCUGGGUGGGGCAGCGAGGUCAGGACCCAGCUCCCAGGGCUAGUCCUGGGGCAGCGCCCGGAGUCGCAGCUGGCAUAGCCCGACGGGCAUCAGGGGCUAACCUCCUUCCCGAUGCCCACCUCCCGGAGGUUCCCGGGGGCGGGGGAGCACACUCUGCUAUAGGAGCCCCUCCCCCGGGCUGAUCAGAGAAGACAGUGGACCCCCAGCCUUCAGUUACUCAUCCAGACAAUGAUGACUGCCUUGGUGGCUCGAAGUGAAGGGCACAAGAUUCCAGAGGAGAAGGAGCACCUGUGCACCUCUAAUCACCUCAGGGACUUCCUCUCGACCCAAUAACGUUCAAGAAAACGUUUCCGAGAUGUUUGCGGCGCUUCGGACUCAGAUGGAUUUAUUAUGGUCAUCCAGACUGUGCUAAGAGGAACUCUUAUCUACUAACACAGCUAUUUUCCUUUUCCGAAAUCUUCAGGAUCAACAAGUUCUUCCUUUAAACCAAAGAGCUGCUACCAGGGAGUGCACCACUACCUCUUUGUAGCCCUGCCCUCAUUCUCUAGGAAGCACUAAGCUGGCACAGGGCUGCAGCCGCUUCUGCUUAGCCCGAGGUGUCCGGCACGUCCAUCCUUGACUUGCCUCUUCUCCGAUGCCCCUUUCUCCAGGGCUUCCCAGCCUCAGAGAAAACAGUCCAUUGGAGCUCCUCCAGGGAGUCCUGGGCAUCCCUGAGCCGCUAGGAGAGCCAGGAGGUGAGGGAAGGGGGCUGAGCAUUACUUUGACAUGGAGAAAGCUCAGUGAUUGUUUUUAAGUCGGUACUGUCAAUGCAGUUAAGGAAGACCUGAAUUCAAACCCAGCCUCAGACACUUACUGUGUGACCCUGGGCAAGUUGCUUAACUUUGUUUGCCUCCGUUUCCUCAUCUGUAAAAAUGAAGUGGAGACAGAAACGGCGGACUGCUCCAGGAUCGUUGCCAAAGAAGACCCAAAUGGGUCACAAAGUGCUGGACACGACUGAAUAGCAAUAACUGAAUGGGUUUGGAGUUGACAGGCUAGAGAGAAGGCUUCAACAAAGAAAAUUCCUUUGACUGCAGCCAGGAAAAGGGGGCUCACAAAAUGGGCAGAAUUAGCAUCCCAGGAAAGAGAAGGGAACCUUUGAAAGGAGUAGUGAGAAUUGAAUCCAAGAAUGAUUCCCUUUUUGUCCAGUGGACUUCCUUACAGCGAGGCUUUGGUUCGGGGUACCUGGCCCUCCAAAAGGUGUGAUCAGGGGCUGAAUAGAAUCGAUUCUCUUAGAAAAAUCACAAACCUAGGGCUGAAAGCGAUCUUAGAAACCAUUGUGUCCACUCCCCUCAUUUUAUAGAUGAGGAAAGCAAUUCACAGAGAAGUAAAUGACUUGCCCAGGGUCACAAAGCUAACAAAUCCAGUGCUCUAACUACUAUAUAAUGCUGCCUCAGGGCUAGGCUACUGGGUUUCACUCCUGGACCAAUAGUUAGCCACCCUCCAGUGGGAUCUAAAGUGAUGGUAUCAGCUACUCAUGGCAUCACAGGAGCUAGACAUGGUAGGAGCCUUAUGGGAUCCAAUACCUUCAUGUUUAUAAUGAGCAAACUCAGGUAGAGAGAGAUAAAGUGACUUGCCCAAAGUCACACUUGUUAUAAGUAGCAGAGAUGAGAUUUGAACCCCAGUCCUCUCACCCCAAAGCCCAGUGUUUUUCCCACUAUGCUACUCCUCUGUAGUUGGCAGCAUUGUGCUGUGGGAUGCUCCUCUUUUUCUCAUACAGACUGUCCAACCCGAAUCAUUUCUGGAAUAUAUUGUGUAAUGGCUCUAUCUGUUCCAGAAUAUGUGUGGAUUCAGAUACGUGUGUAGAGACAAAGCAAUAACUAAGGGAAGGUGAUCAGUGGUUUGCCCCAGGGUACCAAAAUUUAGAGGGCACUGGCAAACACAUUCUUUCAAAAACUAUUUUUAAAAAUCAGCUUAGCACCUGGUCAGAAAGAAUAAUUAAUUAGAAAAGGAAGCUACCCCAAAGAGCAUGCAUUCCCUUUUCCUUCCUCUUCUAGGUGACACCCCUCUGAUGAAUUCCAACUCUUCCCCCUGGGGCAGAGCAGGCUUAUGGUAUUACUAAUGUCCCAGGGUCUCUGCUUGGGGAGCUAAUCUCUGUGUACUUUCUGACUGCUUGCUAAUCUGGACAAAGAGGUCCACUCCCGAGACAACUGGCUACCUGGCUACGGGGAUGGUAGGAAACUAGCAUUGGGCAUCUGGGCACUUCAAAAAGCCUCUCUCAGGCUAAACAGUUUCCUGAGGGGUCUUCUCCAUAUGCAAGGCUAGUCUUCUCCCCACCCACAGCAGCAGCGGUAGGCAGGAGCAGAUCUUACAGAUGUGCAAUAGAGAUGGAGGUCUUCUUUGCACUUUUUCUCUGCCUCCCAACGCCAGGGGAAUUUUGACAAAAGUGCAUGAAGGCACACAGAGAUAGCGAGUGCUUUUAGCUCUUAUCGUUACUACCUUCCCAUGAAAAAGCCCUGAUUGGUUGUAGAUGCACUCCAAACCCUUGUUUGAUGCAACUUCUUGGCAACCCAGUGACUAUAAAUAAAGAUUCUCAGCCAACAUUUAUUGCCUAGCUGAUAAAGAGAGCAGCCUGGCUAACAGGCCCCCUCUCUCCAUUCAGGACUCUUCCAAAGGCUACCAUUUUCUCAAACUCUUUCCUACAUUCUCUGGCCAAUUCAUCUUCCCAUAUAAACUUGUAUCCAAGAAAUAAAAGCCAACUGCUCUCUGUUCAAUCAAUCAGUCACCAACCUGACCUACGUCCAAACAGCUUGUCUUGCAGUCAGAUGCUCCAUCCUUUGGGAUAAGUGAUCUCAGUGCCCUGGUCCGCAACGUCCUUGCUGAUGUCUCCUAACAGUAUAUGGUCUACCUGGGAGAACGUUCCACCCCAUGGCUGUUCUAGCUCCCCCAAGUCAGAAACCAACACAAAGACCCUCCGCGGACAGCGCAGAAAUAUCAAAGCAAAAGAGAGAUGAGGGCCUGAAGACAGUCAGACAGUGAAGAAGCCUCCUAGAGGUGGCAUAAAGAACCAAAUGUCUCACAC